RNAcentral lists this ribosomal RNA (1345 nucleotides) under uncultured bacterium. RNAcentral describes it as "bacterial SSU rRNA". It matches the Rfam family "Bacterial small subunit ribosomal RNA", at positions 28 to 1381 of the family's 1533-position model. The record is from RNAcentral.
GAUGAACGCUGGCGGCGUGCUUAACACAUGCAAGUCGAACGGUGAACCAGGAGCUUGCUCUUGGGGAUCAGUGGCGAACGGGUGAGUAACACGUGAGCAAUCUGCCCCUGACUCUGGGAUAAGCGCUGGAAACGGCGUCUAAUACUGGAUACGAGCCGUGAAGGCAUCUUCAACGGUUGGAAAGAUUUUUCGGUCAGGGAUGAGCUCGCGGCCUAUCAGCUUGUUGGUGAGGUAAUGGCUCACCAAGGCGUCGACGGGUAGCCGGCCUGAGAGGGUGACCGGCCACACUGGGACUGAGACACGGCCCAGACUCCUACGGGAGGCAGCAGUGGGGAAUAUUGCACAAUGGGCGCAAGCCUGAUGCAGCAACGCCGCGUGAGGGAUGACGGCCUUCGGGUUGUAAACCUCUUUUAGCAGGGAAGAAGCGAAAGUGACGGUACCUGCAGAAAAAGCGCCGGCUAACUACGUGCCAGCAGCCGCGGUAAUACGUAGGGCGCAAGCGUUAUCCGGAAUUAUUGGGCGUAAAGAGCUCGUAGGCGGUUUGUCGCGUCUGCUGUGAAAUCCCGAGGCUCAACCUCGGGUCUGCAGUGGGUACGGGCAGACUAGAGUGCGGUAGGGGAGAUUGGAAUUCCUGGUGUAGCGGUGGAAUGCGCAGAUAUCAGGAGGAACACCGAUGGCGAAGGCAGAUCUCUGGGCCGUAACUGACGCUGAGGAGCGAAAGGGUGGGGAGCAAACAGGCUUAGAUACCCUGGUAGUCCACCCCGUAAACGUUGGGAACUAGUUGUGGGGUCCAUUCCACGGAUUCCGUGACGCAGCUAACGCAUUAAGUUCCCCGCCUGGGGAGUACGGCCGCAAGGCUAAAACUCAAAGGAAUUGACGGGGACCCGCACAAGCGGCGGAGCAUGCGGAUUAAUUCGAUGCAACGCGAAGAACCUUACCAAGGCUUGACAUACACGAGAACGCUGCAGAAAUGUAGAACUCUUUGGACACUCGUGAACAGGUGGUGCAUGGUUGUCGUCAGCUCGUGUCGUGAGAUGUUGGGUUAAGUCCCGCAACGAGCGCAACCCUCGUUCUAUGUUGCCAGCACGUAAUGGUGGGAACUCAUGGGAUACUGCCGGGGUCAACUCGGAGGAAGGUGGGGAUGACGUCAAAUCAUCAUGCCCCUUAUGUCUUGGGCUUCACGCAUGCUACAAUGGCCGGUACAAAGGGCUGCGAUACCGUAAGGUGGAGCGAAUCCCAAAAAGCCGGUCCCAGUUCGGAUUGAGGUCUGCAACUCGACCUCAUGAAGUCGGAGUCGCUAGUAAUCGCAGAUCAGCAACGCUGCGGUGAAUACGUUCCCGGGUCU